GAUAGUGUACGAUCUGAUCAGCCAUGCCGCGUGCGGGAAGAAGGCCUUCGGGUUGUAAACCGUCUUUUGUCAGGGAAGAAAUCUUCUGAGUUAAUACCUCGGGAGGAUGACGGUACCUGAAGAAUAAGCACCGGCUAACUACGUGCCAGCAGCCGCGGUAAUACGUAGGGUGCGAGCGUUAAUCGGAAUUACUGGGCGUAAAGCGUGCGCAGGCGGUCUUGCAAGACAGGUGUGAAAUCCCCGGGCUUAACCUGGGAACUGCACUUGUGACUGCAAGGCUGGAGUACGGCAGAGGGGGAUGGAAUUCCGCGUGUAGCAGUGAAAUGCGUAGAUAUGCGGAGGAACACCGAUGGCGAAGGCAAUCCCCUGGGCCUGUACUGACGCUCAUGCACGAAAGCGUGGGGAGCAAACAGGAUUAGAUACCCUGGUAGUCCACGCCCUAAACGAUGUCAACUGGUUGUUGGACGGCUUGCUGUUCAGUAACGAAGCUAACGCGUGAAGUUGACCGCCUGGGGAGUACGGCCGCAAGGUUGAAACUCAAAGGAAUUGACGGGGACCGGCACAAGCGGUGGAUGAUGUGGUUUAAUUCGAUGCAACGCGAAAAACCUUACCUACCCUUGACAUGUCUGGAAUUUUGCAGAGAUGCGAAAGUGCUCGAAAGAGAACCAGAACACAGGUGCUGCAUGGCCGUCGUCAGCUCGUGUCGUGAGAUGUUGGGUUAAGUCCCGCAACGAGCGCAACCCUUGUCAUUAGUUGCUACGAAAGGGCACUCUAAUGAGACUGCCGGUGACAAACCGGAGGAAGGUGGGGAUGACGUCAGGUCCUCAUGGCCCUUAUGGGUAGGGCUACACACGUCAUACAAUGGCCGGUACAGAGGGCUGCCAACCCGCGAGGGGGAGCCAAUCCCAGAAAACCGGUCGUAGUCCGGAUCGCAGUCUGCAACUCGACUGCGUGAAGUCGGAAUCGCUAGUAAUCGCGGAUCAGCUUGCCGCGGUGAAUACGUUCCCGGGCCUUGUACACACCAUACACAUAUGACUAGUA
This 1041-nucleotide ribosomal RNA is filed under the name uncultured Comamonadaceae bacterium. RNAcentral's name for it is "bacterial SSU rRNA". It matches the Rfam family "Bacterial small subunit ribosomal RNA", at positions 370 to 1412 of the family's 1533-position model. Lineage: Bacteria; Pseudomonadati; Pseudomonadota; Betaproteobacteria; Burkholderiales; Comamonadaceae. The record is from RNAcentral.